GAACGCUGGCGGCGUGCCUAAUACAUGCAAGUCGAGCGAACAGAUAAGGAGCUUGCUCCUUUGACGUUAGCGGCGGACGGGUGAGUAACACGUGGAUAACCUACCUAUAAGACUGGGAUAACUUCGGGAAACCGGAGCUAAUACCGGAUAACAUAUUGAACCGCAUGGUUCAAUAGUGAAAGGCGGCUUUGCUGUCACUUAUAGAUGGAUCCGCGCCGUAUUAGCUAGUUGGUAAGGUAACGGCUUACCAAGGCAACGAUACGUAGCCGACCUGAGAGGGUGAUCGGCCACACUGGAACUGAGACACGGUCCAGACUCCUACGGGAGGCAGCAGUAGGGAAUCUUCCGCAAUGGGCGAAAGCCUGACGGAGCAACGCCGCGUGAGUGAUGAAGGUCUUCGGAUCGUAAAACUCUGUUAUCAGGGAAGAACAAAUGUGUAAGUAACUGUGCACAUCUUGACGGUACCUGAUCAGAAAGCCACGGCUAACUACGUGCCAGCAGCCGCGGUAAUACGUAGGUGGCAAGCGUUAUCCGGAAUUAUUGGGCGUAAAGCGCGCGUAGGCGGUUUUUUAAGUCUGAUGUGAAAGCCCACGGCUCAACCGUGGAGGGUCAUUGGAAACUGGAAAACUUGAGUGCAGAAGAGGAAAGUGGAAUUCCAUGUGUAGCGGUGAAAUGCGCAGAGAUAUGGAGGAACACCAGUGGCGAAGGCGACUUUCUGGUCUGUAACUGACGCUGAUGUGCGAAAGCGUGGGGAUCAAACAGGAUUAGAUACCCUGGUAGUCCACGCCGUAAACGAUGAGUGCUAAGUGUUAGGGGGUUUCCGCCCCUUAGUGCUGCAGCUAACGCAUUAAGCACUCCGC
This 860-nucleotide ribosomal RNA is filed under the name Staphylococcus sp. M_Sw_oHS_08/10_5_1(1). RNAcentral's name for it is "bacterial SSU rRNA". It matches the Rfam family "Bacterial small subunit ribosomal RNA", at positions 31 to 872 of the family's 1533-position model. The record is from RNAcentral. Lineage: Bacteria; Bacillati; Bacillota; Bacilli; Caryophanales; Staphylococcaceae.